UUCCAUGAUGAUCAUUUUCUGUGCUUCGGCACAGCUGGAAAUUACCGUCUGAAAUAUUUUGACGAAAAAAACCUGGCUGUUUUCUGAUA
Molecule: small nucleolar RNA, 89 nt
Filed under: Pestalotiopsis fici W106-1
Lineage: Eukaryota; Fungi; Ascomycota; Sordariomycetes; Amphisphaeriales; Sporocadaceae
Description: A. fumigatus snoRNA Afu_300
Rfam family: A. fumigatus snoRNA Afu_300
Source: Rfam by way of RNAcentral